UCCGUAGGUGAACCUGCGGAAGGAUCAUUACCGAGUGUAGGGUUCCUAGCGAGCCCAACCUCCCACCCGUGUUUACUGUAACCUUAGUUGCUUCGGCGGGCCCGCCUUUAAGGCCGCCGGGGGGCAUCAGCCCCCGGGCCCGCGCCCGCCGGAGACACCACGAACUCUGUCUGAUCUAGUGAAGUCUGAGUUGAUUGUAUCGCAAUCAGUUAAAACUUUCAACAAUGGAUCUCUUGGUUCCGGCAUCGAUGAAGAACGCAGCGAAAUGCGAUAACUAGUGUGAAUUGCAGAAUUCCGUGAAUCAUCGAGUCUUUGAACGCACAUUGCGCCCCCUGGUAUUCCGGGGGGCAUGCCUGUCCGAGCGUCAUUGCUGCCCAUCAAGCACGGCUUGUGUGUUGGGUCGUCGUCCCCUCUUCGGGGGGGACGGGCCCCAAAGGCAGCGGCGGCACCGCGUCCGAUCCUCGAGCGUAUGGGGCUUUGUCACCCGCUCUGUAGGCCCGGCCGGCGCUUGCCGAACGCAAAACAACCAUUCUUUCCAGGUUGACCUCGGAUCAGGUAGGGAUACCCGCUGAACUUAAGCAUAUCAAUAAGCGGAGGA
This 598-nucleotide ribosomal RNA is filed under the name Aspergillus tamarii. RNAcentral describes it as "eukaryotic LSU rRNA". The stretch from base 214 to 367 matches the Rfam family "5.8S ribosomal RNA". Lineage: Eukaryota; Fungi; Ascomycota; Eurotiomycetes; Eurotiales; Aspergillaceae. The record is from RNAcentral.